AGCUAGGUGGCACAAUGGGUAGAGUGCCAGACUUGAAAUCAGGAAGAUUUCAUGAGUUCAAAUCUUGUCUCAGAUA
RNAcentral lists this transfer RNA (76 nucleotides) under Monodelphis domestica (gray short-tailed opossum). It matches the Rfam family "tRNA". Rfam says of the family: Transfer RNA (tRNA) molecules are approximately 80 nucleotides in length. Their secondary structure includes four short double-helical elements and three loops (D, anti-codon, and T loops). The record is from Rfam by way of RNAcentral. Lineage: Eukaryota; Metazoa; Chordata; Mammalia; Didelphimorphia; Didelphidae.